GUGUGAGAGAGAAACGGGAACACAGCACCCAAAUUGCUUUCUAGAAUGGCAUGGCAGCCCAGCACGGAUCUGGAAAGCCGCCCCGGUCAGUCCAUCCGCCUGGGCGCAGAGGCGCACUGUCAGCACCAGGGCGGGUGGUGGCGGUGACCAAGGGCCCCCCAGAGCAACCGUCUUGAGGCCGCGAAGGGAAGAAACGUCCAAAACCGGCGACGGGAGCCAGUCCCCCGACACUCCUCCGAGGGGAUCCCCCCUGAGGCCGCUCUCUGGGUGCCCACCCCAGACUCUCCACGCCGCAGGAUCCAUUGGCUGAUAUUGUAAAUCUGGAAGCAGAGUGCGGUUAACCUUUUAUAAUCUGCAGUAGUUUGGUAUGUCCCAACUCGUGAAUGUGGUUCUGUUUUUGGUUUAUUUACUUGAGAAUGACGUCUAGGGUGAAGCAUGGAAGUUAGGGGUUGAAAUGAUGUGGGUAGUCGGCACCCCAAGUCCCGGGUAUAGGGGUCUGCCUGCCAGUAAGUCCCAGCACUCAGGAGGUUGGGGCAGAGGAUCUCCUGACGCCAGAUUUUCUGAGGCUAGCCUGGCCAAUGUAGCUAGGUCCUGUCUCAUAAACAAACAAGAGCCAGGCAUGGUGGCGCACACCUUUAAUUCCAGAACUUGGGAGGCAGAGGCAAGAGGAUCACGAUGA
This is a long non-coding RNA of Jaculus jaculus (lesser Egyptian jerboa), 679 nucleotides long. RefSeq lists it as uncharacterized. Lineage: Eukaryota; Metazoa; Chordata; Mammalia; Rodentia; Dipodidae. The record is from RefSeq and is a predicted model, not a curated record. The transcript has 3 exons.